This 351-nucleotide long non-coding RNA is filed under the name Rosa chinensis. Its description in RNAcentral is "sRNA RchiOBHm_Chr1g0343131". The record is from RNAcentral. Lineage: Eukaryota; Viridiplantae; Streptophyta; Magnoliopsida; Rosales; Rosaceae.
GGCUUCACACGACGGUUUAAAACUGUCGUCUCACGUUAUACAUUUCCGUGGUCUAUCGAGGCGUCGUCUGAUGAAACGCUGUCAGACGACGGUUUUCAACCAUCGUAUACCGAUCAUUGGGUCGACGGUUUGCAGCUAACUCCGUCGUCUGAUGGGAUCGGCAGAUCUGUCGACAAGCUGUCGACAGCAAUUUGCCGUGGUGUAACAUUUAUUCAUACCACGGUUUUUAUGAACAUUCGUUGUCUGUUUGAGAUUCAUAAGUCGGUUUUUAUUUUGUAACCGUCGUAUCUAUUGUAUACAUACGACAGUUCUUGUUUUGUAAUUGUUGUGCAUAUUUUAUUCAUACGACAG